UGGAUCCAGACUUUGAUUAUGGCUCAGGACGAACGCUGGCGGCGCGCCUAACACAUGCAAGUCGAACGAGGUUUUGGAUUUAUCUGAAACUUAGUGGCGGACGGGUGAGUAACACGUGAAGAACCUGCCUUAUAGAGGGGGACAACAGCUGGAAACGGCUGCUAAUACCGCAUAAUGUUAUGGGACGGCAUCGUCUCAUAACCAAAGGAGCAAUCCGCUGUAAGAUGGCUUCGCGUCCGAUUAGACAGUUGGCGGGGUAACGGCCCACCAAAUCUACGAUCGGUAGCCGGACUGAGAGGUUGAUCGGCCACAUUGGGACUGAGACACGGCCCAGACUCCUACGGGAGGCAGCAGUGGGGGAUAUUGCACAAUGGAGGAAACUCUGAUGCAGCAACGCCGCGUGAGGGAAGAAGGUUUUCGGAUUGUAAACCUCUGUCUUCGGUGACGAAAAUGACGGUAGCCGAGGAGGAAGCCACGGCUAACUACGUGCCAGCAGCCGCGGUAAUACGUAGGUGGCAAGCGUUGUCCGGAAUUACUGGGUGUAAAGGGAGCGUAGGCGGGAAGGCAAGUUGAUUGUUUAAACUAUGGGCUCAACCCAUAGUCGCGAUCAAAACUGUUUUUCUUGAGUGAAGUAGAGGUAAGCGGAAUUCCUAGUGUAGCGGUGAAAUGCGUAAAUAUUAGGAGGAACACCAGUGGCGAAGGCGGCUUACUGGGCUUUAACUGACGCUGAGGCUCGAAAGCGUGGGUAGCAAACAGGAUUAGAUACCCUGGUAGUCCACGCCGUAAACGAUGAUUACUAGGUGUGGGGGGACUGACCCCUUCCGUGCCGGAGUUAACACAAUGAGUAGUCCACCUGGGGAGUACGACCGCAAGGUUGCAACUCAAA
This 886-nucleotide ribosomal RNA is filed under the name uncultured Bacillota bacterium. Its description in RNAcentral is "bacterial SSU rRNA". It matches the Rfam family "Bacterial small subunit ribosomal RNA", at positions 1 to 905 of the family's 1533-position model. The record is from RNAcentral. Lineage: Bacteria; Bacillati; Bacillota.